RNAcentral lists this non-coding RNA (29 nucleotides) under Mus musculus (house mouse). The record is from RNAcentral. Lineage: Eukaryota; Metazoa; Chordata; Mammalia; Rodentia; Muridae.
UGAUAGCAAGAGCAGAUGCCCGCCACAAA